GACGAACCGUACGAACGUUAUUCGGAAUCACUGGGCUUAAAGGGUGCGUAGGCGGCGCGACAAGUUGGGUGUGAAAUCCCUCGGCUCAACCGAGGAACUGCGCCCAAAACUGUCGUGCUCGAGGGAGACAGAGGUGAGCGGAACUUAGGGUGGAGCGGUGAAAUGCGUUGAUAUCAGAAGGAACGCCGGUGGCGAAAGCGCUCGACUGGACCUCUGCUGACGCUGAGGCGCGAAAGCCAGGGGAGCAAACGGG
This 253-nucleotide ribosomal RNA is filed under the name uncultured bacterium. RNAcentral's name for it is "partial 16S ribosomal RNA". It matches the Rfam family "Bacterial small subunit ribosomal RNA", at positions 524 to 776 of the family's 1533-position model. The record is from RNAcentral.